Carcharodon carcharias (great white shark) is the source of this 571-nucleotide long non-coding RNA. RefSeq lists it as uncharacterized. NCBI's taxonomy places the organism in Eukaryota, Metazoa, Chordata, Chondrichthyes, Lamniformes, Lamnidae. The transcript is spliced from 3 exons. The record is from RefSeq and is a predicted model, not a curated record.
GAAACGCAGAAACACCAACCUCAUUAAAGAUGAAGCAUCAGCCAAGAUGUGCUAAGCAGAAGUUUCAGAAUAACACUUGGGAAAACUAGAAGAAAGAUAUGUUUACUGAUGCAGAAGAAAGUUUGAUUGCUGAAGAGGCACUGACCAAGAGGCCAGAAAGAUUUGCACUCGCUAUGCCAAAAAUGCAAGGAAGUAAAACAAGCCGAAGAUAAAAGGCAGAUCAAUGUCAAGAAGAUUGGGAGAGAUCAGCUGCUGUUUCAGAGUUCACCUGAGAACCAACCUCCUAGAUAUUCGAAUACAAGAAACCCCACAACCUGCUAUGAACCUUCGCAUUACAAGACCCUCACUUCAACUUUGAAUCAUCAGCUCCAUUCAAGAAACCACAGGCCUCUCACAUGGGAGACUAGAAAUUGUAAAUCAAAGACUGAAUUAACUGUAAUAUGUGAAAAUGCAUUCUAUUUAUCUGUAUCCAAUUCCUGCGCAUGCGUGCAUGUGCAUGUGUGCAUGCGUGAUAUUAUGUCAGUUUAGAGUAAGUGUGUGAGAAUAAACAACGUUACUUAAUUUAAACCCA